This 450-nucleotide ribosomal RNA is filed under the name uncultured bacterium. RNAcentral's name for it is "partial 16S ribosomal RNA". It matches the Rfam family "Bacterial small subunit ribosomal RNA", at positions 338 to 795 of the family's 1533-position model. The record is from RNAcentral.
CCUACGGGGGGCAGCAGUAAGGAAUAUUGGUCAAUGGACGAAAGUCUGAACCAGCCAUCCCGCGUGCAGGAUGAAAGCCCUAUGGGUUGUAAACUGCUUUUAGCAGAGAAGAAAAGCUUUCAUUAAUGAGAGUCUGACGGUAUCUGCAGAAUAAGCACCGGCUAACUCCGUGCCAGCAGCCGCGGUAAUACGGAGGGUGCGAGCGUUAUCCGGAAUAACGGGGUUUAAAGGGUAGGUUUGCGUCAGAGUUGAAAUCUGGUCGCUUAACGAUAAAAUUGCCAAUGAUACUGGUACUCUUGAAUUGGGUUGAGGUUAGCGGAAUGUGACAUGUAGCGGUGAAAUGCAUAGAUAUGUCAUGGAACACCAAUUGCGAAGGCAGCUAACUGGGCCUUGAUUGACGCUGAGGCACGAAAGCGUGGGGAGCGAACAGGAUUAGAUACCCUUGUAGUC